AACGUAGGAGACAAACGUUAUCCGGAGUUACUGGGCGUAAAGGGCGUGUAGGUGGUAAUGUAAGUCUGGCGUGAAAUUUUCGGCUUAACCGGGAAAGGUCGUCGGGAUACUGCAUCACUAGAGGACGGUAGAGGCGUGUGGAAUUCCGGGUGUAGUGGUGAAAUGCGUAGAGAUCCGGAGGAAACACCAGUGGCGAAGGCGACACGCUGGGCCGUACCUGACACUGAUGCGCGACAGCAUGGGGAGCAAACAGG
RNAcentral lists this ribosomal RNA (254 nucleotides) under uncultured bacterium. RNAcentral describes it as "partial 16S ribosomal RNA". It matches the Rfam family "Bacterial small subunit ribosomal RNA", at positions 524 to 776 of the family's 1533-position model. The record is from RNAcentral.